Triticum aestivum (bread wheat) is the source of this 1267-nucleotide long non-coding RNA. RefSeq lists it as uncharacterized. The transcript is spliced from 6 exons. NCBI's taxonomy places the organism in Eukaryota, Viridiplantae, Streptophyta, Magnoliopsida, Poales, Poaceae. The record is from RefSeq and is a predicted model, not a curated record.
GCUAGUGGAAAAAUGUAGCCAUCGUGUGUACACCAAGGGGCAGGGCCUCUACGCAAAGCUCUUGUGCUCUUCCUUGGUGUGUGUGUGUGUCUGUGUAGAGUUUCUCCAUGGUGUGUGUUCAUGAGUGAUGAGAGGAAGAAGAAGAAGAAGAAGCGGCGCCAACACUCUUAUCAUUGCCAUUUUUUUGAUUGAUUGGGUUUGUCCUCUUGGUGGAGGAGGCAGGGAGCAAGCAGGCAGACAUGGGAGAAGGAGAAUGACCCUGACGAGAUGGCUGCCAUAGGGUCGUGGCCUUCUUUAGCACGCACAUCGGCACCGUCCCCGCGGCCGCAGCAGGAUGACGAUGUUGGCUGCAAGUGACGACGCAGGAGCCCAUCCUGGUCGAGCGCCCACCGAGGAUUUUACUACUGCUAUGGACAAAAGAAGGCUAAAGCUGGGAAAGACAACAAUGUCAGGAGCCGACCGAGCUAGAUCCAAAAUGCCCAAAAUGCCGAGAAGCAGGGUUUAUUUUCUCUCAUAACCAUAACAAAGCUUCAAGGGAGGAUGAUGUUUUGUGCAUGUUUCAUUUGCCAUCAAGGCGGUCAUGAUGUUGACUCAUGUCUAAUGCUGAUGGUGAACCGAUUUAGUUCUAACGAAAGAACUAUGAAGCUGAGCUUUUUAUUCAGUUCAAACGAGUGAGCCAGUCCAUUAUGUAUCAGCUUUGAGGGAGUUGUCCAUGUUUCAUUUGCCAUCCAUGUGAUCACGACGUCGACUCAUGUCUAUUGCUGAUGGUGAACCAUUUUUGGCUGUUGUUUAUGCUUCUGAAAAUGAUUGCUGGGGAAGGAGGACCAUUCCUAAUUUGGCCUCAAGGAGAUGCUCUGCUUCAGCUCGCAGGUGGUUUGGUGCCUCUGGAUAUUCCCCCAUCCUCUCCGUUGUGCACAUAUCUCCUUGGUCCAGUCACUUUGUCUCGCUGCACGGAGCGUUUACCUGUCAUCAACAUCUGUCGGUGGAAACGACACCUAUGGGAUCACAAGAAUCCCUACUACGGUUGGCGGGGCGCGGGGUUGUGAGAAGAGCAGGUCUAACAGGAAGCACACGGAUCGUUUACCCAGGUUCGGGCCGCGAGGAUGCGUAAUACCCUAGUCCUGCUUUGGUGGAUGUAUUGAGUGUUCUUGUGUUCUUGAGCUAGCUACGGGGUGUAACUUGCCCAAACGAGCCGAAUCCCUCUCCAGUAUGCCAUGGGCUUCCAUUUAUAGUCGAAAGAGGCUGCCACAGUGGAGGUGGAAAGGUC